Equus asinus (donkey) is the source of this 906-nucleotide long non-coding RNA. Lineage: Eukaryota; Metazoa; Chordata; Mammalia; Perissodactyla; Equidae. The record is from Ensembl.
CAGACAGACAUCAUUUCCAGUCAUUUCUACUCAUGAUUCAUCAGCUGAAUUAGUCAUAAGACCCCACCCUAUCACAAGGGACCAGGAAACAUAGUCCUUUUCUGUGCCUGGAGUAGGGAAGAUGGAAAGCCCAGGGCAAGAAGGCCACUGAUGUAGCCCACCCAGGCCAGCCUACCGAGACGAAGGAGAAGGAGAAGGGCAGAGAGUUGAUAUCAGGAUAUACUAUACAGGAUAUAGAUUUUCAAAAGGGCAUUUGGAGUCCAGCGUCUCCAUGUGGACUUCACCCAGUAACAAAAUAUCUUAUCAAUUUGAAGAUGAACGUUUUUCACGUUUUAACACCUCUGAAGUUGACAGAAUCUUACGGUUGCUGUUCUCCAGGUGGCAGCCAGGACGUAGCUGCUGUUGCCUGCCCUUGCACAAACCUAGAUGUUAGUCCUCAUUCAGGUUGUCUUUAAAUGAUUCGUUGACUGUGUGUGUAGAAGAGUUACAGUUGUCCAAUAUGCCUUUGGUGGACCUUUUGUGGACAUCCUUCAGUAAGAACAAUAAAGUGCCAGCAUCAAAACUUAUAGAAUGAGCAUCAGCACCUUGGAAGCAAAUCCCAGAGACAAUAUUGCAGCAGUCUUAAGAAUAUUACCAAAGCUCCUGAUAGCCCAGCUGACAAAGCGUGAAAAAAACUCUGAUCUCAACUCUCCGUUGAAAGUGAUUCAGAGGACCUGGGAAUGUUUCUAUGGGAAACAUUUUAAUGAUACCUCAACCAAUUUUUAAAAAUUUAAGUCAGAUUUAUUGAGGUAUAAUUUACAUACAGUAAAACUAACCCUUUUUAGAUAUACAGUUCUGUGAAUUGGUAAAAAUAUAUAUAAUGUUGUGUAUCCACCACCAAAAUCAAGAGAGUACAUUUUGAGUUUC